AUUGAACGCUGGCGGCAGGCCUAACACAUGCAAGUCGAGCGAGCGGCGGACGGGUGUGUAAUGUCUGGGAACCUGCCAGAUGGCGGGGGAUAACUACUGGAAACGGUGGCUAAUACCGCAUACCAUCAGAUGAUCCAAGAUGGGAUUAGCUAGUAGGUGGGGAAAAGGCUCACCUAGGCGACGAUCCCUAGCUGGUCUGAGAGGAUGACCGGCCACACUGGAACUGAGACACGGCCCAGACUCCUACGGGAGGCAGCAGUGGGGAAUAUGGCACAAUGGGCGAAAGCCUGACGGAGCCACGCCGCGUGAGUGAAGAAGGCCUUCGGGUUGUAAAGCACUUUCAGUAGGGAGGCGUUACCGACAGAGGAAGCACCGGCUAACUCCGUGCCAGCAGCCGCGGUAAUUC
This 406-nucleotide ribosomal RNA is filed under the name uncultured bacterium. RNAcentral describes it as "partial 16S ribosomal RNA". It matches the Rfam family "Bacterial small subunit ribosomal RNA", at positions 29 to 526 of the family's 1533-position model. The record is from RNAcentral.